RNAcentral lists this ribosomal RNA (484 nucleotides) under uncultured bacterium. Its description in RNAcentral is "partial 16S ribosomal RNA". It matches the Rfam family "Bacterial small subunit ribosomal RNA", at positions 30 to 507 of the family's 1533-position model. The record is from RNAcentral.
AUUGAACGCUGGCGGCAGGCCUAACACAUGCAAGUCGAGCGGAUGAAGGGAGCUUGCUCCUGGAUUCAGCGGCGGACGGGUGAGUAAUGCCUAGGAAUCUGCCUGGUAGUGGGGGAUAACGUCCGGAAACGGGCGCUAAUACCGCAUACGUCCUGAGGGAGAAAGUGGGGGAUCUUCGGACCUCACGCUAUCAGAUGAGCCUAGGUCGGAUUAGCUAGUUGGUGUGGUAAAGGCCUACCAAGGCGACGAUCCGUAACUGGUCUGAGAGGAUGAUCAGUCACACUGGAACUGAGACACGGUCCAGACUCCUACGGGAGGCAGCAGUGGGGAAUAUUGGACAAUGGGCGAAAGCCUGAUCCAGCCAUGCCGCGUGUGUGAAGAAGGUCUUCGGAUUGUAAAGCACUUUAAGUUGGGAGGAAGAGCAGUAAGUUAAUACCUUGAUGUUUUGACGUUACCAACAGAAUAAGCACCGGCUAACUUCGUG